GAUGAACGCUGACAGAAUGCUUAACACAUGCAAGUCUUUGGCGAAGCUGUGCUUGCACAGCCUAGCCAAGGCGGACGGGUGAGUAACGCGUAAGGAACUUGCCCUGCAGUCAGGGAUAACAGACGGAAACGACUGAUAAGACCUGGUAAAGUCAGGCGGACUCAUGUCCAGCCUGAUGAAAAGAGAUGCUGCAGGAGAGCCUUGCGUCCUAUUAGCUUGUUGGUGGGGUAACGGCCCACCAAGGCGAUGAUAGGUAGCCGGCCUGAGAGGGUGGACGGCCACAAGGGGACUGAGAUACGGCCCUUACUCCUACGGGAGGCAGCAGUGGGGAAUAUUGGACAAUGGGGGCAACCCUGAUCCAGCAAUUCUGUGUGCACGAUGAAGGUUUUCGGAUUGUAAAGUGCUUCCAGCAGGGAAGAAAAAAAUGACGGUACCUGCAGAAGAAGCGACGGCUAAAUACGU
This 462-nucleotide ribosomal RNA is filed under the name uncultured bacterium. Its description in RNAcentral is "partial 16S ribosomal RNA". It matches the Rfam family "Bacterial small subunit ribosomal RNA", at positions 28 to 506 of the family's 1533-position model. The record is from RNAcentral.